GCUCCACCGGAAAAAGAAGAGUGGCGAACGGGUGAGUAACACGUGGGUAACCUGCCCAUCAGAAGGGGAUAACACUUGGAAACAGGUGCUAAUACCGUAUAACAAUCAAAACCGCAUGGUUUUGAUUUGAAAGGCGCUUUCGGGUGUCGCUGAUGGAUGGACCCGCGGUGCAUUAGCUAGUUGGUGAGGUAACGGCUCACCAAGGCCACGAUGCAUAGCCGACCUGAGAGGGUGAUCGGCCACAUUGGGACUGAGACACGGCCCAAACUCCUACGGGAGGCAGCAGUAGGGAAUCUUCGGCAAUGGACGAAAGUCUGACCGAGCAACGCCGCGUGAGUGAAGAAGGUUUUCGGAUCGUAAAACUCUGUUGUUAGAGAAGAACAAGGAUGAGAGUAACUGUUCAUCCCUUGACGGUAUCUAACCAGAAAGCCACGGCUAACUACGUGCCAGCAGCCGCGGUAAUACGUAGGUGGCAAGCGUUGUCCGGAUUUAUUGGGCGUAAAGCGAGCGCAGGCGGUUUCUUAAGUCUGAUGUGAAAGCCCCCGGCUCAACCGGGGAGGGUCAUUGGAAACUGGGAGACUUGAGUGCAGAAGAGGAGAGUGGAAUUCCAUGUGUAGCGGUGAAAUGCGUAGAUAUAUGGAGGAACACCAGUGGCGAAGGCGGCUCUCUGGUCUGUAACUGACGCUGAGGCUCGAAAGCGUGGGGAGCAAACAGGAUUAGAUACCCUGGUAGUCCACGCCGUAAACGAUGAGUGCUAAGUGUUGGAGGGUUUCCGCCCUUCAGUGCUGCAGCUAACGCAUUAAGCACUCCGCCUGGGGAGUACGACCGCAAGGUUGAAACUCAAAGGAAUUGACGGGGGCCCGCACAAGCGGUGGAGCAUGUGGUUUAAUUCGAAGCAACGCGAAGAACCUUACCAGGUCUUGACAUCCUUU
RNAcentral lists this ribosomal RNA (932 nucleotides) under Enterococcus faecium. RNAcentral describes it as "bacterial SSU rRNA". It matches the Rfam family "Bacterial small subunit ribosomal RNA", at positions 74 to 992 of the family's 1533-position model. The record is from RNAcentral. Lineage: Bacteria; Bacillati; Bacillota; Bacilli; Lactobacillales; Enterococcaceae.